Molecule: ribosomal RNA, 187 nt
Filed under: uncultured Bacillota bacterium
Lineage: Bacteria; Bacillati; Bacillota
Description: uncultured Firmicutes bacterium partial 16S ribosomal RNA
Rfam family: Bacterial small subunit ribosomal RNA
Source: RNAcentral
ACGGCCCAGACUCCUACGGGAGGCAGCAGUGGGGAAUCUUGCGCAAUGGGCGAAAGCCUGACGCAGCGACGCCGCGUGAGCGAAGAAGGCUUCGGGUCGUAAAGCUCGAUAGUGUGGGAAGAAUAGAUGACGGUACCACACGAAAGCCCCGGCUAACUACGUGCCAGCAGCCGCGGUAAUGAGUAGG